AAAUGACUCUCGGCAACGGAUAUCUCGGCUCUCGCAUCGAUGAAGAACGCAGCGAAAUGCGAUACUUGGUGUGAAUUGCAGAAUCCCGCGAACCAUCGAGUCUUUGAACGCAAGUUGCGCCCAAAGCCUUUCGGUCGAGGGCACGUCUGCCUGGGUGUCACGCAACCGUCGCUCCAACCCCCUCUGCCUCAAGCAAGGGAUGCGGGGCGGAUUCUGGCCUCCCGUGUGCUCAUUGCUUCCGGUUGGCCCAAAAUUUGAGUCCUCGGCUAUGAACGCCACGACAAUCGGUGGUUGCAUGACCUUCGGACAAAGUCGUGUGCGCCCGUUGGCUCCGGAACUCACAGACCCAUUGCGUACCAAAGUGCACGCUCCCAUUGCGACCCCAGGUCAGGCGGGAACACCCGCUGAGUUUAAGCAUAUCAAUAAGCGGAGGAAAAGAAACUUACCAGGAUUCCCUUAGUAACGGCGAGCGAACCGGGAAGAG
This 484-nucleotide ribosomal RNA is filed under the name Ostodes paniculata. Its description in RNAcentral is "eukaryotic LSU rRNA". The stretch from base 5 to 160 matches the Rfam family "5.8S ribosomal RNA". Lineage: Eukaryota; Viridiplantae; Streptophyta; Magnoliopsida; Malpighiales; Euphorbiaceae. The record is from RNAcentral.